This 301-nucleotide ribosomal RNA is filed under the name uncultured bacterium. Its description in RNAcentral is "partial 16S ribosomal RNA". It matches the Rfam family "Bacterial small subunit ribosomal RNA", at positions 509 to 808 of the family's 1533-position model. The record is from RNAcentral.
CAGCCGCCACGGUAAUACGUAGGUGGCAAGCGUUGUCCGGAAUUAUUGGGCGUAAAGCGCGCGUAGGCGGUUUCUUAAGUCUGAUGUGAAAGCCCCCGGCUUAACCGGGGAGGGUCAUUGGAGACUGGGAGACUUAGAGCGCAGAAGAGGAGAGUGGAAUUCCAUGUGUAGCGGUGAAAUGCGUAGAUAUAUGGAGGAACACCAGUGGCGAAGGCGACUCUCUGGUCUGUAACUGACGCUGAGGCGCGAAAGCGUGGGGAGCAAACAGGAUUAGAUACCCCAGUAGUCCCUGUCUCUUAUA